GCGCACCAGUCGCGAAACCUUCGCAGUGCGGGAAACCGCGACGAGGGGACUCCCAGUGCCUACGCUCAGCGUAGGCUGUUCCCGAGCCUAGAAAGCUCGGGGAGUAAGGGCUGGGUAAGACGGGUGCCAGCCGCCGCGGUAAUACCCGCAGCCCGAGUGGUGGCCACUAUUAUUGGGCCUAAAGCGUCCGUAGCCGGCCCGGUAAAUGCCUGGGUAAAUCGUGAGGCCUAACCUCACGAAUUCCGGGUAGACUGCCGGGCUAGGGACCGGAGGAGGGAGAGGGGUACUCCAGGGGUAGGGGUGAAAUCCUGUAAUCCCUGGAGGACCACCGGUGGCGAAGGCGCUCUCCUAGGACGGGUCCGACGGUGAGGGACGAAAGCCAGGGGAGCGAACCGGAUUAGAUACCCGCGUAGU
RNAcentral lists this ribosomal RNA (414 nucleotides) under uncultured microorganism. Its description in RNAcentral is "bacterial SSU rRNA". It matches the Rfam family "Archaeal small subunit ribosomal RNA", at positions 330 to 745 of the family's 1478-position model. The record is from RNAcentral.